RNAcentral lists this ribosomal RNA (900 nucleotides) under uncultured bacterium. RNAcentral's name for it is "bacterial SSU rRNA". It matches the Rfam family "Bacterial small subunit ribosomal RNA", at positions 77 to 971 of the family's 1533-position model. The record is from RNAcentral.
AGCUUGCUAGAUUGAUGGCGAGUGGCGAACGGGUGAGUAAUACAUCGGAACGUGCCCUGUAGUGGGGGAUAACUAGUCGAAAGAUUAGCUAAUACCGCAUACGACCUGAGGGUGAAAGUGGGGGACCGCAAGGCCUCAUGCUAUAGGAGCGGCCGAUGUCUGAUUAGCUAGUUGGUGGGGUAAAGGCCCACCAAGGCGACGAUCAGUAGCUGGUCUGAGAGGACGAUCAGCCACACUGGGACUGAGACACGGCCCAGACUCCUACGGGAGGCAGCAGUGGGGAAUUUUGGACAAUGGGCGAAAGCCUGAUCCAGCAAUGCCGCGUGUGUGAAGAAGGCCUUCGGGUUGUAAAGCACUUUUGUCCGGAAAGAAAUGGCUCUGGUUAAUACCUGGGGUCGAUGACGGUACCGGAAGAAUAAGGACCGGCUAACUACGUGCCAGCAGCCGCGGUAAUACGUAGGGUCCAAGCGUUAAUCGGAAUUACUGGGCGUAAAGCGUGCGCAGGCGGUUGUGCAAGACCGAUGUGAAAUCCCCGAGCUUAACUUGGGAAUUGCAUUGGUGACUGCACGGCCAGAGUGUGUCAGAGGGGGGUAGAAUUCCACGUGUAGCAGUGAAAUGCGUAGAGAUGUGGAGGAAUACCGAUGGCGAAGGCAGCCCCCUGGGAUAACACUGACGCUCAUGCACGAAAGCGUGGGGAGCAAACAGGAUUAGAUACCCUGGUAGUCCACGCCCUAAACGAUGUCAACUAGUUGUUGGGGAUUCAUUUCCUUAGUAACGUAGCUAACGCGUGAAGUUGACCGCCUGGGGAGUACGGUCGCAAGAUUAAAACUCAAAGGAAUUGACGGGGACCCGCACAAGCGGUGGAUGAUGUGGAUUAAUUCGAUGCAACGCGAAAAACCU